RNAcentral lists this ribosomal RNA (1388 nucleotides) under Leuconostoc mesenteroides. Its description in RNAcentral is "bacterial SSU rRNA". It matches the Rfam family "Bacterial small subunit ribosomal RNA", at positions 60 to 1414 of the family's 1533-position model. Lineage: Bacteria; Bacillati; Bacillota; Bacilli; Lactobacillales; Lactobacillaceae. The record is from RNAcentral.
AGUCGAACGAACUCUGGUAUUGAUUGGUGCUUGCAUCAUGAUUUACAUUUGAGUGAGUGGCGAACUGGUGAGUAACACGUGGGAAACCUGCCCAGAAGCGGGGGAUAACACCUGGAAACAGAUGCUAAUACCGCAUAACAACUUGGACCGCAUGGUCCGAGCUUGAAAGAUGGCUUCGGCUAUCACUUUUGGAUGGUCCCGCGGCGUAUUAGCUAGAUGGUGGGGUAACGGCUCACCAUGGCAAUGAUACGUAGCCGACCUGAGAGGGUAAUCGGCCACAUUGGGACUGAGACACGGCCCAAACUCCUACGGGAGGCAGCAGUAGGGAAUCUUCCACAAUGGACGAAAGUCUGAUGGAGCAACGCCGCGUGAGUGAAGAAGGGUUUCGGCUCGUAAAACUCUGUUGUUAAAGAAGAACAUAUCUGAGAGUAACUGUUCAGGUAUUGACGGUAUUUAACCAGAAAGCCACGGCUAACUACGUGCCAGCAGCCGCGGUAAUACGUAGGUGGCAAGCGUUGUCCGGAUUUAUUGGGCGUAAAGCGAGCGCAGGCGGUUUUUUAAGUCUGAUGUGAAAGCCUUCGGCUCAACCGAAGAAGUGCAUCGGAAACUGGGAAACUUGAGUGCAGAAGAGGACAGUGGAACUCCAUGUGUAGCGGUGAAAUGCGUAGAUAUAUGGAAGAACACCAGUGGCGAAAGCGGCUGUCUGGUCUGUAACUGACGCUGAGGCUCGAAAGUAUGGGUAGCAAACAGGAUUAGAUACCCUGGUAGUCCAUACCGUAAACGAUGAAUGCUAAGUGUUGGAGGGUUUCCGCCCUUCAGUGCUGCAGCUAACGCAUUAAGCAUUCCGCCUGGGGAGUACGGCCGCAAGGCUGAAACUCAAAGGAAUUGACGGGGGCCCGCACAAGCGGUGGAGCAUGUGGUUUAAUUCGAAGCUACGCGAAGAACCUUACCAGGUCUUGACAUACUAUGCAAAUCUAAGAGAUUAGACGUUCCCUUCGGGGACAUGGAUACAGGUGGUGCAUGGUUGUCGUCAGCUCGUGUCGUGAGAUGUUGGGUUAAGUCCCGCAACGAGCGCAACCCUUAUUAUCAGUUGCCAGCAUUAAGUUGGGCACUCUGGUGAGACUGCCGGUGACAAACCGGAGGAAGGUGGGGAUGACGUCAAAUCAUCAUGCCCCUUAUGACCUGGGCUACACACGUGCUACAAUGGAUGGUACAACGAGUUGCGAACUCGCGAGAGUAAGCUAAUCUCUUAAAGCCAUUCUCAGUUCGGAUUGUAGGCUGCAACUCGCCUACAUGAAGUCGGAAUCGCUAGUAAUCGCGGAUCAGCAUGCCGCGGUGAAUACGUUCCCGGGCCUUGUACACACCGCCCGUCACACCAUGAGAGUUUG